AAUGAACGUUGGCGGCAUGGAUUAGGCAUGCAAGUCGGGGGAAUCCGCAAGGGGGAACCGGCGUAAGGGGCAGUAAUGCAUGGGUACCUACCUUUGGGUUCGGGAUAGCCAUCAGAGAUGGUGGGUAAUACCGGAUGACGUCGUGAGACCAAAGAUUUAUCGCCCUUAGAGGGGCCCAUGUGACAUUAGCUAGUUGGUGGGGUAACGGCUCACCAAGGCGAAGAUGUCUAGCGGGUGUGAGAGCACGACCCGCGCCACUCGCACUGAGGCACUGGCGAGACACCUACGGGUGGCUGCAGUCGAGGAUCUUCGGCAAUGGGCGCAAGCCUGACCGAGCGAUGCCGCGUGAGCGAUGAAGGCCUUCGGGUUGUAAAGCUCUUUAGUGGGGGAGAAAAGCCGAAAGGUGUGAUCUAUCCCAAAAGUAAGCUCGGGCUAAGUUCAUGCCAGCCGCCGCGGUAA
RNAcentral lists this ribosomal RNA (459 nucleotides) under uncultured bacterium. Its description in RNAcentral is "partial 16S ribosomal RNA". It matches the Rfam family "Bacterial small subunit ribosomal RNA", at positions 29 to 523 of the family's 1533-position model. The record is from RNAcentral.